RNAcentral lists this ribosomal RNA (1178 nucleotides) under Salmonella enterica. RNAcentral's name for it is "partial 23S ribosomal RNA". It matches the Rfam family "Bacterial large subunit ribosomal RNA", at positions 325 to 1512 of the family's 2925-position model. The record is from RNAcentral. Lineage: Bacteria; Pseudomonadati; Pseudomonadota; Gammaproteobacteria; Enterobacterales; Enterobacteriaceae.
UGUGUUAGUGGAAGCGUCUGGAAAGGCGCGCGAUACAGGGUGACAGCCCCGUACACAAAAGCGCAUGUGCUGUGAGCUCGAUGAGUAGGGCGGGACACGUGGUAUCCUGUCUGAAUAUGGGGGGACCAUCCUCCAAGGCUAAAUACUCCUGACUGACCGAUAGUGAACCAGUACCGUGAGGGAAAGGCGAAAAGAACCCCGGCGAGGGGAGUGAAAAAGAACCUGAAACCGUGUACGUACAAGCAGUGGGAGCACCCUUUGGGUGUGACUGCGUACCUUUUGUAUAAUGGGUCAGCGACUUAUAUUCUGUAGCAAGGUUAACCGAAUAGGGGAGCCGGAGGGAAACCGAGUCUUAACCGGGCGUUAAGUUGCAGGGUAUAGACCCGAAACCCGGUGAUCUAGCCAUGGGCAGGUUGAAGGUUGGGUAACACUAACUGGAGGACCGAACCGACUAAUGUUGAAAAAUUAGCGGAUGACCUGUGGCUGGGGGUGAAAGGCCAAUCAAACCGGGAGAUAGCUGGUUCUCCCCGAAAGCUAUUUAGGUAGCGCCUCGUGAAUUCAUCUCCGGGGGUAGAGCACUGUUUCGGCUAGGGGGCCAUCCCGGCUUACCAACCCGAUGCAAACUGCGAAUACCGGAGAAUGUUAUCACGGGAGACACACGGCGGGUGCUAACGUCCGUCGUGAAGAGGGAAACAACCCAGACCGCCAGCUAAGGUCCCAAAGUCAUGGUUAAGUGGGAAACGAUGUGGGAAGGCCCAGACAGCCAGGAUGUUGGCUUAGAAGCAGCCAUCAUUUAAAGAAAGCGUAAUAGCUCACUGGUCGAGUCGGCCUGCGCGGAAGAUGUAACGGGGCUAAACCAUGCACCGAAGCUGCGGCAGCGACACUGUGUGUUGUUGGGUAGGGGAGCGUUCUGUAAGCCUGUGAAGGUGUGUCGUGAGGCAUGCUGGAGGUAUCAGAAGUGCGAAUGCUGACAUAAGUAACGAUAAAGCGGGUGAAAAGCCCGCUCGCCGGAAGACCAAGGGUUCCUGUCCAACGUUAAUCGGGGCAGGGUGAGUCGACCCCUAAGGCGAGGCCGAAAGGCGUAGUCGAUGGGAAACGGGUUAAUAUUCCCGUACUUGGUGUUACUGCGAAGGGGGGACGGAGAAGGCUAUGUUGGCCGGGCGACGGUUGUCCCGGUU